RNAcentral lists this ribosomal RNA (253 nucleotides) under uncultured bacterium. Its description in RNAcentral is "partial 16S ribosomal RNA". It matches the Rfam family "Bacterial small subunit ribosomal RNA", at positions 524 to 776 of the family's 1533-position model. The record is from RNAcentral.
UACGGGGGGGGCAAGCGUUGUUCGGAAUUACUGGGCGUAAAGGGCUCGUAGGUGGCCAACUAAGUCAGACGUGAAAUCCCUCGGCUUAACCGGGGAACUGCGUCUGAUACUGGAUGGCUUGAGUUUGGGAGAGGGACGCGGAAUUCCAGGUGUAGCGGUGAAAUGCGUAGAUAUCUGGAGGAACACCGGUGGCGAAGGCGGCGUCCUGGACCAAUACUGACGCUGAGGAGCGAAAGCGUGGGGAGCGAACAGG